RNAcentral lists this ribosomal RNA (415 nucleotides) under uncultured prokaryote. Its description in RNAcentral is "bacterial SSU rRNA". It matches the Rfam family "Bacterial small subunit ribosomal RNA", at positions 505 to 918 of the family's 1533-position model. The record is from RNAcentral.
GUGUCAGCAGCCGCGGUAAUACGUAGGUGGCGAGCGUUACUCGGAAUCACUGGGCAUAAAGGGCGUGUAGGCGGGUCCGCAAGUCCGUUGUGAAAGCCCCCGGCUCAACCGGGGAAGGCCGACGGAAACUGCGGGUCUAGAGUGCGGGAGGGGAGAGUGGAACUCUUGGUGGAGCGGUGAUAUGCGUAGAUAUCAAGAGGAACGCCGGUGGCGAAAGCGACUCUCUGGUCCGCAACUGACGCUGAGGCGCGAAAGCCAGGGGAGCAAACGGGAUUAGAUACCCCGGUAGUCCUGGCCCUAAACGAUGGGUACUAGGUAGAGGUGGCUCCGAUGCCGUCUCUGCCGCAGCAAAUGUGCUAAGUACCCCGCCUGGGGAGUACGGUCGCAAGGCUGAAACUUAAAUGAAUUGACGGGG